UACGAAGGGGGCUAGCGUUGUUCGGAAUUACUGGGCGUAAAGCGUGCGCAGGCGGUUGUGUAAGACAGAUGUGAAAUCCCCGGGCUCAACCUGGGAACUGCAUUUGUGACUGCACGGCUGGAGUGCGGCAGAGGGGGAUGGAAUUCCGCGUGUAGCAGUGAAAUGCGUAGAUAUGCGGAGGAACACCGAUGGCGAAGGCAAUCCCCUGGGCCUGCACUGACGCUCAUGCACGAAAGCGUGGGGAGCAAACAGG
Molecule: ribosomal RNA, 253 nt
Filed under: uncultured bacterium
Lineage: Bacteria
Description: partial 16S ribosomal RNA
Rfam family: Bacterial small subunit ribosomal RNA
Source: RNAcentral